GACGAACGCUGGCGGCGUGCUUAACACAUGCAAGUCGAACGGAAAGGCCCUGCUUUUGUGGGGUGCUCGAGUGGCGAACGGGUGAGUAACACGUGAGUAACCUGCCCUUGACUUUGGGAUAACUUCAGGAAACUGGGGCUAAUACCGGAUCGGAGCUCCUGCUGCAUGGUGGGGGUUGGAAAGUUUCGGCGGUUGGGGAUGGACUCGCGGCUUAUCGGCUUGUUGGUGGGGUAGUGGCUUACCAAGGCUUUGACGGGUAGCCGACCUGAGAGGGUGACCGGCCACAUUGGGACUGAGAUACGGCCCAGAGUCCUACGGGGGGCAGCAGGGGGAAAUAUUGCACAAUGGGCAGAAGCCUAAUGCAGCAACGCCGCGUGCGUGAAGUCGGCCUUCCGGUUGUGAACCGAUUACGCCUGUGACGAAGCGUGAGUGACGGUAAUGGGUAAAGAAGCACCGGCUAACUACGUG
Molecule: ribosomal RNA, 468 nt
Filed under: uncultured bacterium
Lineage: Bacteria
Description: partial 16S ribosomal RNA
Rfam family: Bacterial small subunit ribosomal RNA
Source: RNAcentral